UACGUAGGGGGCAAGCGUUGUCCGGAUUUAUUGGGCGUAAAGGGCGUGUAGGCGGUUAGAUAGGUCCGUUGUGAAAACUCGAGGCUCAACCUCGAGACGUCGGCGGAAACCAUCUGGCUAGAGUCCGGAAGAGGAGAGUGGAAUUCCUGGUGUAGCGGUGAAAUGCGCAGAUAUCAGGAAGAACACCCGUGGCGAAGGCGGCUCUCUGGGACGGUACUGACGCUGAGACGCGAAAGCGUGGGGAGCGAACAGG
This 253-nucleotide ribosomal RNA is filed under the name uncultured bacterium. RNAcentral describes it as "partial 16S ribosomal RNA". It matches the Rfam family "Bacterial small subunit ribosomal RNA", at positions 524 to 776 of the family's 1533-position model. The record is from RNAcentral.